CUUUCGACGGUAAGGUAUUGGCUUACCGUGGCAGUGACGGUUAACGGGGAAUUAGGGUUCAAUUCCGGAGAGGGAGCCUGAGAAACGGCUACCACAUCUAAGGAAGGCAGCAGGCGCGCAAAUUACCCAAUUCUAACAGCAUAAGAGAGGUAGUGACAAGAAAUAACAGUACAAGGCAGUUAAAAUGCUUUGUAAUUGGAAUGAUAGAAAUUUAAAUACUUUUUAAAGUAUCAAUUGGAGGGCAAGUCUGGUGCCAGCAGCCGCGGUAAUUCCAGCUCUAAUAGCGUAUAUUAAAAUUGUUGCAGUUAAAAAGCUCGUAGUUGAAUUUUUGCUAAAAAUAACCGGUCUGCUUUUAUUAAUAAAAGUGGUAUCUUGGUGUGUUUUUAGCAAUAAUGUCCUUUGAAAUGUUUCUUACUUUAUUGUAAAAAGCAAUUUUCAGGAUUUUUACUUUGAGAAAAUUAGAGUGUUUCAAGCAGGCUAACGUUUUGAAUACUGCAGCAUAGAAUAAUAAAAUAGGAUUUUAGUUCUACGUUAUUGGUUUUAAGAACUAAAUUAAUGAUUGAUAGGAGCAGUUGGGGGCAUUUGUAUUUAACUGUCAGA
Molecule: ribosomal RNA, 600 nt
Filed under: Hepatozoon sp.
Lineage: Eukaryota; Apicomplexa; Hepatozoidae
Description: SSU rRNA
Rfam family: Eukaryotic small subunit ribosomal RNA
Source: RNAcentral